CAGGGAAUAGUUUAAAUAGAAUGUCAGCUUUGGGUGUUGAUGGUGGAGCUAUUGUUUCUUCCUUGA
This 66-nucleotide transfer RNA is filed under the name Tremarctos ornatus (spectacled bear). RNAcentral describes it as "partial transfer RNA-Pro". The record is from RNAcentral. RNAcentral also lists the same sequence under 1 other name. Lineage: Eukaryota; Metazoa; Chordata; Mammalia; Carnivora; Ursidae.